CUGGCGACGAGCUUGAUCAUGAGGAAGAGGGGUAGCAGGAGCAGCAGGCCAAGCAGCGGCAGCGUCGUCGCCGUCGCCUCCAUCAUUGUCCGGCGAGUGCGAUGCAAAGAUUAGUGGCGGUGUUUGCCACCACUCAUCACCAGUGGUGAGCACUUGCAGCAAAUUGUGGUUGCAACCAACUCGACUUUUCAUUUAAUUUGAAGGUGAUGGUGAUUUGCUAAUAAAGUGGCUCUGUCUAUUUCCUCUCAACAUGGAUGUCCUAUUUUCUGGAUUUAUUUUAAAAAUAAUUGUUGUUGUUAUGUCAUGUAUAAGUGAUCGAUGUAUUCAUCGAUGACGAGACGUGCGUGUUACAUUCAUCAAUCCCAAAUAGUAGGACAUUUAUUA
Molecule: long non-coding RNA, 384 nt
Organism: Panicum virgatum (switchgrass)
Lineage: Eukaryota; Viridiplantae; Streptophyta; Magnoliopsida; Poales; Poaceae
Exons: 2
Source: RefSeq, a predicted model, not a curated record